CGCCUUUCAUUGGCUCCUGCCGCCCUCGCGACUUUAGACCGAGCUCCGAUUGGCCGAGCUCAAAAAAGCCGACUUUGAGCUACGGUAUUCAAAUACGUGCCCCGUUGACUGCUAUGGCCAACUUGGAGCUUGGCUGACUGCUGUGUAUAGAGGGCAAGCUUGGCUUAGAUGAUCUUUGACAUCCCUGUCAAUUCUCAAUCCCUGAUUAUCCAGUGGAACAACAGAAUGACAACUGCUGAUACUUUUUGUAGGUUUUUUGUCAUCAGAGAUCUAAAGUUGGAAAGGACCUUGGAAGAUAUUAUCUCUAAUCCUUCCCUUCAUGAUGAGAAAUCAGGACCAGAGAUGUGAAACUUGGCCAAGAUCACGUUGGUAGUGAGUUGCAGAGCUGGAAAUCAGACGCAGGAGAUGGCUUGACCGGUAUAGGAAGGAGAAUGAAGAAAUUUAGAAUUGGAGAUAAUGUAAAAACAAAAAAUAUCAAUAAAAAAUUUGAAAU
This 493-nucleotide long non-coding RNA is filed under the name Sarcophilus harrisii (Tasmanian devil). Its description in RNAcentral is "lncRNA (ENSSHAG00000030101.1)". The record is from RNAcentral. Lineage: Eukaryota; Metazoa; Chordata; Mammalia; Dasyuromorphia; Dasyuridae.